This 255-nucleotide long non-coding RNA is filed under the name Nicotiana benthamiana. Its description in RNAcentral is "long non-coding RNA (NBEN_LNC017111)". Lineage: Eukaryota; Viridiplantae; Streptophyta; Magnoliopsida; Solanales; Solanaceae. The record is from RNAcentral.
UUCCUUCUAAUUCAAGGUAGAGAUUAAGAAAUCAGAUUGGAGAAAGAAAAAACGGCUAAAGAAAAAAAAUACAAAAACACUAAAAAAUCUGAAAAAUUAGAAGAAAAAUACAAAAAAGGCACCAAAAAUACUGUUUCAUUGAAGCUGAGUGUGUUUUCUUUGGGUUUCUUAAAAGAUUGAAGUAGUUUUGACUCUUUCUGGGAUCAAAAUGGUUUGACAAAGCUGAAACUCUGUUGUUGAUCUGCUAAAUCUCCU